GUAUGCAAGGGCGAUCUGGCUGCAACAUCUGUCACCCCAUUGAUUUGCCAGGGUUGAUUUGGCUGAUCUGGCUGGCUAAGUGGGUGUCCCCUUCCUUCCUCAAUGCUCCAUGUGUGUCCCUCCGGAAGCUGCACAUUUGGUGGAAGAGGAAGGCCUUCCAGGAACAGAGACGAACCGGUCUUCUGUCGAGGGUGUAGGAGUAACUGUGCUCCCCUGCUAGAACCUUCAAACAAGCUCUCAAGAAAAAAGUAGCAUUUAAGGAGUUAAAUUUUAAAACUCUAUUAGUCUUAUUUGUUGUGAUUUUUU
This is an unclassified non-coding RNA of Erinaceus europaeus (western European hedgehog), 306 nucleotides long. Its record names the gene 7SK. It matches the Rfam family "7SK RNA". Rfam says of the family: 7SK was discovered as an abundant small nuclear RNA in the mid-70s but a possible function has only recently been suggested. Lineage: Eukaryota; Metazoa; Chordata; Mammalia; Eulipotyphla; Erinaceidae. The record is from Ensembl.